GACGAACGCUGGCGGCGUGCUUAACACAUGCAAGUCGAACGGAAAGGCCCUGCUUUUGUGGGGUGCUCGAGUGGCGAACGGGUGAGUAACACGUGAGUAACCUGCCCUUGACUUUGGGAUAACUUCAGGAAACUGGGGCUAAUACCGGAUAGGAGCUCCUGCUGCAUGGUGGGGGUUGGAAAGUUUCGGCGGUUGGGGAUGGACUCGCGGCUUAUCAGCUUGUUGGUGGGGUAGUGGCUUACCAAGGCUUUGACGGGUAGCCGGCCUGAGAGGGUGACCGGCCACAUUGGGACUGAGAUACGGCCCAGACUCCUACGGGAGGCAGCAGUGGGGAAUAUUGCACAAUGGGCGGAAGCCUGAUGCAGCAACGCCGCGUGCGGGAUGACGGCCUUCGGGUUGUAAACCGCUUUCUCCUGUGACGAAGCGUGAGUGACAGUAAUGGGUAAAGAAGCACCGGCUAACUACGUG
RNAcentral lists this ribosomal RNA (468 nucleotides) under uncultured bacterium. RNAcentral describes it as "partial 16S ribosomal RNA". It matches the Rfam family "Bacterial small subunit ribosomal RNA", at positions 28 to 507 of the family's 1533-position model. The record is from RNAcentral.